This is an RNA transcript of Pan troglodytes (chimpanzee), 3544 nucleotides long. It is a transcript of the gene named phospholipase A2 group IVB, with no coding region annotated. Lineage: Eukaryota; Metazoa; Chordata; Mammalia; Primates; Hominidae. The record is from RefSeq and is a predicted model, not a curated record. The transcript has 26 exons.
CUCGGCCGGCGCUGACGCAGCCAUGGCGGAGGCGGCUUUGGAAGCCGUGCGGAGCGAGUUACGAGAAUUCCCGGCCGCUGCAAGGGGUGGGAGCUGCCCUGGGGUCAGGUGUGAGCAGUGAUUACUGGCAUCUGGGCAUGGGCUGAGUGUCCAUUCCUCUAGAGCCACAGUGGGCUCCACAGAGGUGAGUGUGGCCGUGACCCCAGAUGGUUACGCGGAUGCCGUGAGAGGGGAUCGCUUCAUGAUGCCAGCUGAGCGCCGCCUGCCCCUGAGCUUCGUGCUGGAUGUGCUGGAGGGCCGGGCCCAGCACCCUGGAGUCCUCUAUGUGCAGAAGCAGUGCUCCAACCUGCCCACCGAGCUGCCCCAGCUGCUGCCUGAUCUGGAAUCCCAUGUGCCCUGGGCCUCCGAAGCCCUGGGAAAGAUGCCUGAUGCUGUGAACUUCUGGCUGGGGGAGGCGGCUGCGGUGACUUCUUUGCACAAGGACCACUAUGAGAACCUCUACUGCGUGGUCUCAGGAGAGAAGCAUUUCCUGUUCCAUCCGCCCAGCGACCGGCCCUUCAUCCCCUAUGAGCUGUACACGCCGGCAACCUACCAGCUAACUGAAGAGGGCACCUUUAAGGUGGUGGAUGAAGAGGCCAUGGAGAAGGUGCCCUGGAUCCCACUGGACCCCUUGGCGCCAGACCUAGCACGGUACCCUAGUUACAGUCAGGCCCAGGCCCUUCGCUGCACGGUGCGGGCCGGUGAGAUGCUCUAUCUGCCGGCUCUGUGGUUCCACCAUGUCCAGCAGUCCCAGGGCUGCAUCGCAGGCAGAGGUGUCCAGGACCUGCCUGCUCACGGUUCGUGUCCUGCAGGCCCAUCGCCUACCCUCUGAGGACCUAGUGACCCCCUCUGACUGCUACGUGACUCUCUGGCUGCCCACGGCCUGCAGCCACAGGCUCCAGACACGCACGGUCAAGAACAGCAGUAGCCCUGUCUGGAACCAGAGCUUUCACUUCAGGAUCCACAGGCAGCUCAAGCCCUGUCACUCUUUUCCCCUCCAGAAUGUCAUGGAACUGAAAGUCUUUGACCAGGACCUGGUGACCGGAGAUGACCCUGUGUUGUCAGUACUGUUUGAUGCGGGGACUCUGCGGGCUGGGGAGUUCCGGCGCGAGAGCUUCUCACUGAGCCCUCAGGGUGAGGGGCGCCUGGAAGUUGAAUUUCGCCUGCAGAGUCUGGCUGACCGUGGCGAGUGGCUCGUCAGCAAUGGCGUUCUGGUGGCCCGGGAGCUCUCCUGCUUGCACGUUCAACUGGAGGAGACAGGAGACCAGAAGUCCUCAGAGCACAGAGUUCAGCUUGUGGUUUCUGGGUCCUGUGAGGGUCCGCAGGAGGCCUCUGUGGGCACUGGCACCUUCCGCUUCCACUGCCCAGCCUGCUGGGAGCAGGAGCUGAGUAUUCACCUGCAGGAUGCCCCCGAGGAGCAACUAAAGGUGCCACUGAGUGCCCUGCCCUCUGGUCAAGUGGUGAGGCUUGUCUUCCCCACGUCCCAGGAGCCCCUGAUGAGAGUGGAGCUGAAAAAAGAAGCAGGACUGAGGGAGCUGGCCGUGCGACUGGGCUUCGCGCCCUGUGCAGAGGAGCAGGCCUUCCUGAGCAGGAGGAAGCAGGUGGUGGCCGCAGCCUUGAGGCAGGCCCUGCAGCUGGACGGAGACCUGCAGGAGGAUGAGAUCCCAGUGGUAGCUAUUAUGGCCACUGGUGGUGGGAUCCGGGCAAUGACUUCCCUGUAUGGGCAGCUGGCUGGCCUGAAGGAGCUGGGCCUUUUGGAUUGCGUCUCCUACAUCACCGGGGCCUCGGGCUCCACCUGGGCCUUGGCCAACCUUUAUGAGGACCCAGAGUGGUCUCAGAAGGACCUGGCAGGGCCCACUGAGUUGCUGAAGACCCAGGUGACCAAGAACAAGCUGGGUGUGCUGGCCCCCAGCCAGCUGCAGCGGUACCGGCAGGAGCUGGCCGAGCGUGCCCGCUUGGGCUACCCAAGCUGCUUCACCAACCUGUGGGCCCUCAUCAACGAGGCGCUGCUGCAUGAUGAGCCCCAUGAUCACAAGCUCUCAGAUCAACGGGAGGCCCUGAGUCAUGGCCAGAACCCUCUGCCCAUCUACUGUGCCCUCAACACCAAAGGGCAGAGCCUGACCACUUUUGAAUUUGGGGAGUGGUGCGAGUUCUCUCCCUACGAGGUCGGCUUCCCCAAGUAUGGGGCCUUCAUCCCCUCUGAGCUCUUUGGCUCCGAGUUCUUUAUGGGGCAGCUGAUGAAGAGGCUUCCUGAGUCCCGCAUCUGCUUCUUAGAAGGUAUCUGGAGCAACCUGUAUGCAGCCAACCUCCAGGACAGCUUAUACUGGGCCUCAGAGCCCAGCCAGUUCUGGGACCGCUGGGUCAGGAACCACGCCAACCUGGACAAGGAGCAGGUCCCCCUUCUGAAGAUAGAAGAACCACCCUCAACAGCCGGCAGGAUAGCUGAGUUUUUCACCGAUCUUCUGACGUGGCGUCCACUGGCCCAGGCCACACAUAAUUUCCUGCGUGGCCUCCAUUUCCACAAAGACUACUUUCAGCAUCCUCACUUCUCCACAUGGAAAGCUACCACUCUGGAUGGGCUCCCCAACCAGCUGACACCCUCGGAGCCCCACCUGUGCCUGCUGGAUGUUGGCUACCUCAUCAAUACCAGCUGCCUGCCCCUCCUGCAGCCCACUCGGGACGUGGACCUCAUCCUGUCAUUGGACUACAACCUCCACGGAGCCUUCCAGGAGCUGUGAUUGGGACACUGGAAUCUUAAUUUGCCACCAGAGGAGCUCAUUCUUUUCCGGAAGUUGGGAAGCUGGCGAGGUUCUCCUGCAGUUGCAGCUCCUGGGCCGGUUCUGCCAGGAGCAGGGGAUCCCGUUCCCACCCAUCUCGCCCAGCCCCGAAGAGCAGCUCCAGCCUCGGGAGUGCCACACCUUCUCCGACCCCACCUGCCCCGGAGCCCCUGCGGUGCUGCACUUUCCUCUGGUCAGCGACUCCUUCCGGGAGUACUCGGCCCCGGGGGUCCGGCGGACACCCGAGGAGGCGGCAGCUGGGGAGGUGAACCUGUCUUCAUCGGACUCUCCCUACCACUACACGAAGGUGACCUACAGCCAGGAGGACGUGGACAAGCUGCUGCACCUGACACAUUACAAUGUCUGCAACAACCAAGAGCAGCUGCUGGAGGCUCUGCGCCAGGCAGUGCAGCGGAGGCGGCAGCGCAGGCCCCACUGAUGGCCGGGGCCCCUGCCAUCCCUAACUCUCAUUCAUUCCCUGGCUGCUGAGUUGCAGGUGGGAACUGUCAUCACGCAGUGCUUCAGAGCCUCGGGCUCAGGUGGCACUGUCCCAGGGUCCAGGCUGAGGGCUGGGCGCUCCCUUGCGCCUUAGCAGUUUGCAGUGGGGUAAGGAGGCCAAGCCCAUUUGUGUAAUCACCCAAAACCCCCCGGCCUGUGCCUGUUUUCCCUUCUGCGCUACCUUGAGUAGUUGGAGCACUUGGAUACAUUACAGACUCAUACAAAUGUGA